UUCUUCUCUCACGCCUCCUCUGCCGUUCUCUCAUUCUCUUCGAUAAAUUUUUCUCCCCCCAUCUUUUAUAUCUUCUUCUUUUUUUCCCCUUCUUUUACCUAAUUGCUUCCCAAAUGUCUCUUUAGAUUGCUUGGGACUUAGCCCAAACCCUGGUUUGUAACCUAGGAAUGGAUUUAUGGACAGAUGACUUUAAAUGGUUUGUUUGGUUUCUCAUUCGAAGUGCUAUCUAUGGAUAUAUUUUGUAUCAUGCAUUCUGCUUCCUUAGAAGAAAAGUUCCAGGAGUUCUUGGUUAUGGACCUAUACGUAAAUAUCCAAACAUGAGAAAACUGCGGAGAGUGUUUGCAGAAAGGCUAUUUUAAUUAUAGGUGGAGGAGGAUCAAACGCAAGAAAAAGGCUGGCAUUGAUCCUAUAAGAACUGCUUUUGAUGGAAUGAAGGCUACACCUCUAAACUUAGGAACAAUGUCCGUUCCCGUGCUUGGGGAGCUGGAAUCAGUUGUAGUUAUCGUGUUGAACGAUGCUGCAUUGUUAAGGAACUUAAAGAUUGCAUUAAGGGAUUGCUGUAUUUGGUGGGAGUGGUAGAACAUCAAAUCCGGGUUUUCAGAACAGAUGGAUACAGAUAGAGAGAGACACAGAGCCAGAGAAACAGCCAAUAUCAUCUGUUUCAUCAUGCAUAAAAGUUCAGGCAACAAAACUCAUCUUAUGAAAAAAAAGAUAAACUCACCAGCAGAGGAACAAAGCACCAGCAGAGGAACAAAGAACCAGCACCAGCAGAGGAACAAAGAACCAGCACCAGCAGAGGAUCAAAGAAGCAGUAGAGGAACAAAGAACCAGCGAGAGAAGAGAUGAGAGCAAAGAAGUAAAAGACCAGCUAAGAAGCAGCAGUAGUUUGUGUGUGGGGCUAAAAAAGUAAAAGACCAGCUAAGAAGCACUUUUUGGCCGGAAAAGCAGAAAUUUUCUGCAUUUUCAUCUGCCCAAAAGUACUUCAAGAAAGUUAGUCUACUGGCCCCAAAUGAAGUAUGUUCUUCAUUACUUUUCACCCAAAAUCACUUUUGGGUGUAAAAGUGCUUUUCAACCGGAUUAAAGAAUUGGCCCUAAAUGUUUGUGUUACUAAUUAUUUCAUUUUUUAUGCAGUUUGAGUUGCAGUCGUACAAAAAGGAUCAUAUAAAGGGUGGUCAUACCAAACCGAAUAUUUAAUUUGGUAGAA
Molecule: RNA transcript, 1204 nt
Organism: Gossypium raimondii (Peruvian cotton)
Lineage: Eukaryota; Viridiplantae; Streptophyta; Magnoliopsida; Malvales; Malvaceae
Gene name: probable inactive ATP-dependent zinc metalloprotease FTSHI 5, chloroplastic
Exons: 5
Source: RefSeq, a predicted model, not a curated record